AGCAGCCGCGGUAAUUCCAGCUCCAAUAGCGUAUAUUAAAGUUGUUGCAGUUAAAAAGCUCGUAGUUGAAUUUCGGGGUUAGUAAGUUGGUCAUGCCUUUGGUAUGCACUGGCUUUACUGAUUCCUCCUUCUUGACGAACCGUGAUGUCAUUAAUUUGGUGUUGCGGGAAAUCAGGACUGUUACUUUGAAAAAAUUAGAGUGUUUAAAGCAGGCUAACGCUUGAAUACAUUAGCAUGGAAUAAUGAAAUAGGACGUUAAUCCUAUUUUGUUGGUUUCUAGGAUCGACGUAAUGAUUAAUAGGGAUAGUUGGGGGCAUUAGUAUUCAAUUGUCAGAGGUGAAAUUCUUGGAUUUAUUGAAGACUAACUACUGCGAAAGCAUUUGCCAAGGAUGUUUUCAUUAAUCAAGAACGAAAGUUAGGGGAUCGAAGACGAUCAGAUACCGUCGUAGU
Molecule: ribosomal RNA, 450 nt
Filed under: uncultured Glomeromycotina
Lineage: Eukaryota; Fungi; Glomeromycota
Description: SSU rRNA
Rfam family: Eukaryotic small subunit ribosomal RNA
Source: RNAcentral